RNAcentral lists this small nucleolar RNA (130 nucleotides) under Antirrhinum majus (snapdragon). RNAcentral describes it as "Small nucleolar RNA snoR74". It matches the Rfam family "Small nucleolar RNA snoR74". Lineage: Eukaryota; Viridiplantae; Streptophyta; Magnoliopsida; Lamiales; Plantaginaceae. The record is from Rfam by way of RNAcentral.
AAAAAAGUAGGGAUCUGGUGCAAUUUCUGAACAUGCCUCUUGUAAACUUUAGGGAUAAGGAUAUGCAAUGUUAUUUGGUGAACUUGUUGAGUUGUCCUGAUGAUUGAUAGUUCAGUAAAGUGCGUGAGUA